GCGUUCGUGGUGUAAUGGUCAGCACACUGAGCCGGUAUUUCAGAGGUCCGCGGUUCGAUCCCCGGCGAAGGCG
This 73-nucleotide transfer RNA is filed under the name Stegodyphus mimosarum. It matches the Rfam family "tRNA". Rfam says of the family: Transfer RNA (tRNA) molecules are approximately 80 nucleotides in length. Their secondary structure includes four short double-helical elements and three loops (D, anti-codon, and T loops). Lineage: Eukaryota; Metazoa; Arthropoda; Arachnida; Araneae; Eresidae. The record is from Rfam by way of RNAcentral.